RNAcentral lists this ribosomal RNA (467 nucleotides) under uncultured bacterium. RNAcentral describes it as "partial 16S ribosomal RNA". It matches the Rfam family "Bacterial small subunit ribosomal RNA", at positions 28 to 506 of the family's 1533-position model. The record is from RNAcentral.
GACGAACGCUGGCGGCGUGCUUAACACAUGCAAGUCGAACGGUGAUGCUCCAGCUUGCUGGAGUGGAUCAGUGGCGAACGGGUGAGUAACACGUGAGCAACCUGCCCCAGACUCUGGAAUAAGCGCUGGAAACGGCGUCUAAUACUGGAUACGAAACUGGCCCGCAUGGGCAUGGUUUGGAAAGUUUUUCGGUUUGGGAUGGGCUCGCGGCCUAUCAGCUUGUUGGUGAGGUAAUGGCUCACCAAGGCGACGACGGGUAGCCGGCCUGAGAGGGCGACCGGCCACACUGGGACGGAGACACGGCCCAGACUCCUACGGGAGGCAGCAGUGGGGAAUAUUGCACAAUGGGCGAAAGCCGGAUGCAGCGACGCCGCGUGAGGGAUGACGGCCUUCGGGUUGUAAACCUCUUUCAGCAGGGAAGAAGCGAAAGGGACGGUACCGGCAGAAGAAGCACCGGCUAACUACGG